AUACGUAGGGGGCAAGCGUUGUCCGGAAUUAUUGGGCGUAAAGCGCGCGCAGGCGGUUCAUUAAGUUGGAUGUCAAAGGCAUGGGCUCAACCGAUGUACGCAUCCAAAACUGGUGAACUUGAGUGCAGGAGAGGGGAGUGGAAUUCCCGGUGUAGCGGUGGAAUGCGUAGAGAUCGGGAGGAACACCAGUGGCGAAGGCGACUCUCUGGCCUGUAACUGACGCUGAGGCGCGAAAGCGUGGGUAGCGAACAGGAUUAGAUACCCUGGUAGUCCACGCCGUAAACGAUGAGUGCUAGGUGUUGGGGGCAUAGCGUCCUCAGUGCCGAAGGCAACCCAAUAAGCACUCCGCCUGGGGAGUACGGCCGCAAGGCUGAA
This 375-nucleotide ribosomal RNA is filed under the name uncultured bacterium. Its description in RNAcentral is "bacterial SSU rRNA". It matches the Rfam family "Bacterial small subunit ribosomal RNA", at positions 523 to 898 of the family's 1533-position model. The record is from RNAcentral.